GCACAACGCGAAGAACCUUACCUACUCUUGACAUCCAGAGAACUUAGCAGAGAUGCUUUGGUGCCUUCGGGAACUCUGAGACAGGUGCUGCAUGGCUGUCGUCAGCUCGUGUUGUGAAAUGUUGGGUUAAGUCCCGCAACGAGCGCAACCCUUAUCCUUUGUUGCCAGCGGUUCGGCCGGGAACUCAAAGGAGACUGCCAGUGAUAAACUGGAGGAAGGUGGGGAUGACGUCAAGUCAUCAUGGCCCUUACAAGUAGGGCUACACACGUGCUACAAUGGCGUAUACAAAGAGAAGCGACCUCGCGAGAGCAAGCGGACCUCAUAAAGUACGUCGUAGUCCGGAUUGGAGUCUGCAACUCGACUCCAUGAAGUCGGAAUCGCUAGUAAUCGUAGAUCAGAAUGCUACGGUGAAUACGUUCCCGGGUCUUGUACACACCG
This 438-nucleotide ribosomal RNA is filed under the name uncultured bacterium. RNAcentral describes it as "bacterial SSU rRNA". It matches the Rfam family "Bacterial small subunit ribosomal RNA", at positions 954 to 1392 of the family's 1533-position model. The record is from RNAcentral.